AGUGAACGCUGGCGGUAGGCCUAACACAUGCAAGUCGAACGGCAGCACAGUAAGAGCUUGCUCUUACGGGUGGCGAGUGGCGGACGGGUGAGGAAUACAUCGGAAUCUACUUUUUCGUGGGGGAUAACGUAGGGAAACUUACGCUAAUACCGCAUACGACCUACGGGUGAAAGCAGGGGAUCUUCGGACCUUGCGCGAUUGAAUGAGCCGAUGUCGGAUUAGCUAGUUGGCGGGGUAAAGGCCCACCAAGGCGACGAUCCGUAGCUGGUCUUAGAGGAUGAUCAGCCACACUGGAACUGAGACACGGUCCAGACCCCUACGGGAGGCAGCAGUGGGGAAUAUUGGACAAUGGGCGCAAGCCUGAUCCAGCCAUACCGCGUGGGUGAAGAAGGCCUUCGGGUUGUAAAGCCCUUUUGUUGGGAAAGAAAAGCAGCAGGUUAAUACCCCGCUGUUCUGACGGUACCCAAAGAAUAAGCACCGGCUAACUUCGUG
RNAcentral lists this ribosomal RNA (492 nucleotides) under uncultured bacterium. Its description in RNAcentral is "partial 16S ribosomal RNA". It matches the Rfam family "Bacterial small subunit ribosomal RNA", at positions 29 to 507 of the family's 1533-position model. The record is from RNAcentral.